Molecule: long non-coding RNA, 1609 nt
Organism: Macaca mulatta (Rhesus monkey)
Lineage: Eukaryota; Metazoa; Chordata; Mammalia; Primates; Cercopithecidae
Source: RefSeq, a predicted model, not a curated record
GAUGCUUCAGUUAAACCACAUUGUUCUACCAUCAUGUUCUGCACUUUCCCUCAUGGACAUGUUUGUCCUCCCUCUGCCCGACUAGUGGAAUGCCCUCUUUCCGUCCCCUUUCUCCAUAUGUUGAAAUCCUCCCCACACAUCUAGGUUGAUCAUACAGUCCACGUCUACCAUAAAGGCUUUCCUCAUUUCACGUGAUGAAAUAUGAUCUCCUCUAGUGUUAAACCCCCAGAGCGCUUUGUUUCUCUUACAUGGUACUCAUCAGUACGAAAUUUGUAUUUGCCCCUUACUAUAGUCAUACAACUCUAAUACUCUGUUUCUCUUCCUGAAAAUCCACUGAAGUUAGGAGUGAUAGCUUAUUUUUUUUUUUAAUCAACUCACCCCGGCACCAGAUAUAACUCUCUGUGUACAUGGAUGCACGUACACAUUACACACACACAGCAACGUACAAGACUCAUGCACUCUCUAUCAUCGUGAUGAAAAGAGAAAUACCCAUUGCUCUGCUCUUUUCUCUGCAUCUAUUAUUCAGGAAACAUACACUGAAAUACUAAUCAUGGCUAUACUUUUUUUAUUCCUAGGGCAUCUAAGAUAUAUCUCAUUCCUGCAGCUCAUGAUCUUUUUAAAACUAUUUCAAACUAGAGGCGCUACUGGACCAGCUGCUUGCUGUCCUGCGUAUUUGGAAGACUCCCUUUAUGGAACUGUACACAGACCAAAGUGGGUCUCUCCCAGGCAUCACCUGCAUCCCUGUGUUUCCCAAGGUCUUCAGACAGACCUUGCCAACUCCCGGGCGACUUGAGAAAGCGCUGUCCUUCUCAGGUUGCCUCAAAGAAGCAUGAAAUCCCUGGGAACUUCUUGUGCCCUUUGAACAAAUCAGCUCGAUGAAGGGAGAUGACUCAGUCUCCUUUGCCCCCGAAAGCCGGAGCCAACUCUGGCUACCAGCAGUCUUGGCUUCACAAAAGAACAAUUUACCCUGGUUCCCUCCCAGACUCCAGUCAGUCUCCCUGCAGCUUCAAGUGGCAUCAAAGAGGGAAAAUGUGUCUGUUGAAUCUUUGUAUUGGUGUAUAAACCGGUCCUGACUUGGCCUGGAGCAAGACUGCUGAUGGCAAAUUGAGACCUGGAGACACAUCUCAUUGCCUGAUGGAUGGAAGAAGCUACCCAGCCACGUUGCCUCAUUUUUCUCAGGAGGAGGGAGGACUACACCUCUGUUCAGAGGAAAUAAAUCACAGGGUCAGAGGUCAGAGGGCAUUAGUCUAUAAAGUUUUACGACCUGUAGCUGACAGUUAUUUCUCUUGGAUAGAGGAACAAGAAAAAGAAAAGACAACUUGUACUUGUUCUCUUUCUCAUUUCUUAUCUCUCUCUGAAUUUAAUUUCCUUGUUGUUGCAUUCAAUCCCAAAACAUUGCUUUCUCAGCGUUUCUAUUAUUUAUUCUUCACUAUCUCAUUCAUUUUUACCACUGUUCGCUCCAGAAUUCUAUUUACCUUUUCUCAGUCGUGCUAUUACUGUUUUAUUUGUUUCAGCCAGCUUGUCAUCCUUCUCCAGGAACUGUUAGCAAAGACUUGUUUAUUGACAAAUUCCUGUCUCCUUGAAGAAAUGCUGAAUUAAAUUGUUGAGA